RNAcentral lists this ribosomal RNA (465 nucleotides) under uncultured bacterium. RNAcentral's name for it is "partial 16S ribosomal RNA". It matches the Rfam family "Bacterial small subunit ribosomal RNA", at positions 338 to 795 of the family's 1533-position model. The record is from RNAcentral.
CCUACGGGUGGCAGCAGUAGGGAAUCUUCCGCAAUGGGCGAAAGCCUGACGGAGCAACGCAGCGUGAGUGAUGAAGGUCUUCGGAUCGUAAAACUCUGUUUUUAGAGAAGAAAAUAUGUGUAAGUAACUAUGCACGUAUUGACUGUAUCUAACCAGAAAGCCAAGGCUAACUACGUGCAAGCAGCUGCGGUAAUACGUAGGUGGCAAGCGUUAUCCGGAAUUAUUGGGCGGAAAGGGCGCGUAGGCGGUUUUUUAAGUCUGAUGUGAAAGCCUGCGGCUCAACCGUGGAAGUGCAUUGGACACUGGCAGACUUGAGUGCAGAAGAGGAAGGUGGAAUUCCAUGUGUAGCGGUGAAAUGCUCAGAGAUAUGGAAGAACACCAGUGGCGAAGGCGGCUUUCUAGUCUGUAACUGACGCUGAUGUUCGAAAGCGUGGGGAUCAAACAGGAUUAGAUACCCCUGUAGUC